Molecule: ribosomal RNA, 404 nt
Filed under: uncultured bacterium
Lineage: Bacteria
Description: bacterial SSU rRNA
Rfam family: Bacterial small subunit ribosomal RNA
Source: RNAcentral
UGGGGAAUCUUGCACAAUGGGGGAAACCCUGAUGCAGCGACGCCGCGUGAGUGAUGAAGCCCUUCGGGGUGUAAAGCUCUUUCGGCAGGGACGAUAAUGACGGUACCUGAAGAAGAAGCUGCGGCUAACUACGUGCCAGCAGCCGCGGUAAUACGUAGGCAGCGAGCGUUGUUCGGAGUUACUGGGCGUAAAGAGUGCGUAGGCGGUUUUCUAAGUUUGGUGUGAAAUCUCCCGGCUUAACUGGGAGGGUGCGCCGAAGACUGGAAGGCUAGAGUAUGGGAGAGGUAAGCGGAAUUCCUGGUGUAGCGGUGAAAUGCGUAGAUAUCAGGAGGAACACCUGCGGUGUAGACGGCUUACUGGACCAUAACUGACGCUGAGGCACGAAAGCGUGGGUAGCAAACAGG